This 476-nucleotide ribosomal RNA is filed under the name uncultured bacterium. RNAcentral describes it as "partial 16S ribosomal RNA". It matches the Rfam family "Bacterial small subunit ribosomal RNA", at positions 28 to 505 of the family's 1533-position model. The record is from RNAcentral.
GAUGAACGCUGGCGGCGUGCCUAACACAUGCAAGUCGAACGGAGUCCAGCCUUUAAGACCUUCGGGUCAAAGAGGGGAAGACUGAGUGGCGGACGGGUGAGUAACACGUGGGCAACCUGGCUCAUAGAGGGGGAUAACAGAGAGAAAUUUCUGCUAAUACCGCAUAAGCACACACUGCCGCAUGGCAGAGGGUGAAAAGAGAAUCGCUAUGAGAUGGACCCGCGUCUGAUUAGCCAGUUGGCAGGGUAAGAGCCUACCAAAGCGACGAUCAGUAGCCGAUCUGAGAGGAUGAACGGCCACAUUGGGACUGAGACACGGCCCAAACUCCUACGGGAGGCAGCAGUGGGGGAUAUUGCACAAUGGGGGGAACCCUGAUGCAGCGACGCCGCGUGAGUGAAGAAGUAUUUCGGUAUGUAAAGCUCUAUCAGCAGGGAAGAUAAUGACAGUACCUGAAUAAGAAGCCCCGGCUAACUACG